CCUCUCGCGUUUCGCCCGCAGCCUUGCACGCCCUCGCCUUCCUCCCCUCGCGCAACCACGCGCACCGCCUCGCCCUUCUCCCUUCGCGAACACCGUCACCGCCGCAUCCUCGCCCACCUACAGCCAUCGUCGCCGCGCCGCCACUGCCGCCUCUUCCUCUCUUCAAUCUCGGCCCCGCCAGGCUGCCACCGCCUCCCUUUCCUCGCCCACUCCGCUUCGCUCUGCCAUAUCCGGCUCAGUGGUUGCCAGAUCCAGUAAGAGGAGCCUGGGAGGAGAAGGGAAGUUGAGAGGGACGCCAUCGCCUGGAGCGAGACACGCCCCAGCCGUGGCCCCGCGUCCGUCGCUCGCUGCGAGACAUGCUUUCCGCCCCGGUCGGUGCGGCGCCAAAUCCGCCUCGGGGAAAUCGGCUGACUCGCCGAUGUAUCCGGCUGCCCGGAGACGACGGACAUAAGCCGCCGCCAUAGUCCUCUUCUUCUCUCCCUCUUUGCGCUACUUGAUGUGCUGGUUCUUGCUCAAGGUCCACCAGAUCCGGUAGAAAGAGGUGGUAGGAGCAGUGGGCUCAGUGACGAGGUCAGGGAAGAGAAGGAAGGAGAAGGGCAGCUCAGUCAUGGCUGCCACGAGGACAGAUGUGGGUCGGCAGCUACUACGGCAAGGCCAGCGCCCAGUGCCACAUGUGCCGUUGUACAUGGCGCCUCGCCGCCCUCGCUUCCUCCAGUUGAAUCUCUUCUCCGUACUCUUCAGGUGAGUUUGAGAGCCACUAACCUGACCUUGCCAUAACUAAGUUUAGGCUAGUUGAGACAUGGUGGCAUAAGUGUGGCUUAGAAAUAGUUGGCCACAAGUGUGGCAAGCUUAGCUUCAAAUUUGAGAGUAUGACAUGUGGGUCCUAAGGCUAUGAAAGUGUGGCAUGACACAAUUGCCGUAACGAACCAAACACAUAUCUAAAAAAUUAUGGCAUACUUCCUCCGUUUCACAAUAUAAGUCAUUCUAACAUUUUCCACAUUCAUUUUGAUGUUAAUGAAUCUAAAUAGAUAUAUAUGUCUAGAUUCAUUAACAUCAAUAUGAAUAUGGGAAAUGCUAGAAUGACUUACAUUGUGAAACGGAGGGAAUAACUAAAGUGUGGUGUGGCAAAGUGUGGCAACCAACCAAACAACCCCUAAGCCAUGCUUCUUCUCCUAGCUAUGCUAACGGUUACUGGCUACUGUUACUACUGCUUGCUAUUUUACUGUUGUUGUAUUUCACGGAUAUUUGAUUUGGGCAUAGUUACUAUUGAUUAGGAUCUCACUAAUGCAGAUUUAAAGUAACUCAUGUGCUCAUCCAUUCCAUUGAAAAAUGGAACUUGCGCUGAGUUGGUGAUCUUUAGAUAUUACCGAUAAUACAAAUGUCUUUUUAAGUUUUUAUUUGUUGCAGUGUGUUAUUGGAAUGAGGGUCUUUUGGACUUGCUCUUGCCUAGAGCAACCGCUGAUUUUUCCCUCAUUAUGAACAUAUCAGGAAUGGCCAAUUCAUCACUGAAUAUUUUCUUGAUGUUCAUGAUUCCUAACACUAUGAAGGGAUGGCUGACAAUUUUGACUUUGGAGGGUUCAGUGGAAUCUAUUCAUGUACUGUGACCUGAAAAAUAUGAUAUUAUCAGGGAUUGCCAACUUGCAAAAUUGAUUUGAUUGAUAAGAAAUCCACGUCCCAUUUUCAAUGGCUCAAUGCGCUCAAGAGUCAAGAAUCUGUGCUGGUAAUGGUUGCUACACGAACUUUUCUGCAAUUACAGGUGAAAACAUUACAGCGUACAUUAUAGUUCAUCAUUCUAUCAUCGACAACUAAUAAGACUUUUACGGCUCCUUCGAUUACUCAGGCCUCGGUGCAGCUGUGCCAAUUGGAUUAGCAAUGAAAAUUCCUAGGCGUACUCACACAUUUGCAUGGGAAAACUCAUAUGUGAUUCCAAAACUAAUGUUGCAUCACAUAUCUGUUAUGUAAAUCAAAGUUAACAGUACAGCGAGCUUGAUGUUGCAAAUGUAUUGUCUUACACGAUUUGUCUAUUGCAGUUUUGCUAUAUAUGAAAUGCUUCUUGAAUGCAUCAGAA
This is a non-coding RNA of Oryza sativa Japonica Group (Japanese rice), 2068 nucleotides long. The record is from RefSeq and is a predicted model, not a curated record. Lineage: Eukaryota; Viridiplantae; Streptophyta; Magnoliopsida; Poales; Poaceae.